CCUAAGUCAGAUAGAAAUUUAGGACAGGGACCUUGCCCCGUGUGAGCAAGGAGAAAAUCAAGAGAAACGUAGUGCCUACAGAUGAUGUUUAGCCAGAUGCCUGGUAUAUGUUCUAAAAGGGUUUAUAGUUCCUUAAGGCAAUCAAUCAGUGUCUUCCUCUGAAGGGGUCAAAAUCCAUAGUCAAAAUUCUGAGAACUGACAGACUCAUCUCAUGGGGAAAAAAGCAGCUAAGGAGUUUUCCCUCAGCAGAUACUAGAUCUCAAUGUGCCUGGCUUCCUAAAACAGCUAAAGUUGAGAUCUUUGGGUUCUAAGCUAAAAGGGAUUAAAGCUCACCCUGCCUGUUACAGAGAACAGGUGACAUCUCAGCUGAGGGAUGGAGCUGAAGUCAGAAGCUGGAAGCAGAGGGAGCCUCCAUGACCAUGUGCCCGGCAAAAGAGUACCAUCCAGUGGUCACCUGAGGCCAGCAAGGAGCAUCUGCCUGAAGAAACUACGGGCCCUGCAGAGACUACGCGCUAUGGGACCAGUGAGGAGCGAGUCCAUCGGCAGCAUCGCCGACCAACCCUGCAGUUUCAGAGGACAGGUGAUUGGAUAAUAUCAACUGGAUAUAAAAGGGGAUGUGCUGAGAAAUGGGGGCCAACCCAACGAAGAGCACCUUGAAUCUGGGACCCAAGUAGAGUCUUAAAGAGCAGCAAGAAAAAAUGGAGAUGAACCCCUUUGGAACCUGUUAUAUUUCAUAGUAUUUUUCAAGUCAUAUUGUAUGCAGAGUUGGCCAAACUGUUGCCUGGCUGUUCUCCAGAACCAGCCGCAUUUUCUCUUUGGCAGCAGGACUAUGUAACUUAAUUCAAAAGGGCGGUAAUGUCCUGUUGGGAACUCAGAUGAGUCCAAUAACCAAUUAUUCAUUUAACUGAAGCAGGGAAGGAUUUAGACAUUAGGGAGAACUUACCAGCUGUUUGGGUUAUGUGAUACACUGGGAAAUAUUUACUACAAAAAGAAGUGUGGGAAAAUCUUCAUAAGAUUUUAUCUUUCUCAGAAGGUUUGAAGUCAG
RNAcentral lists this long non-coding RNA (1045 nucleotides) under Monodelphis domestica (gray short-tailed opossum). Its description in RNAcentral is "lncRNA (ENSMODG00000038406.1)". Lineage: Eukaryota; Metazoa; Chordata; Mammalia; Didelphimorphia; Didelphidae. The record is from RNAcentral.